RNAcentral lists this ribosomal RNA (253 nucleotides) under uncultured bacterium. RNAcentral's name for it is "partial 16S ribosomal RNA". It matches the Rfam family "Bacterial small subunit ribosomal RNA", at positions 524 to 776 of the family's 1533-position model. The record is from RNAcentral.
UACGUAGGGUGCGAGCGUUAAUCGGAAUUACUGGGCGUAAAGCGUGCGCAGGCGGUUUUGUAAGCCAGAUGUGAAAUCCCCGGGCUCAACCUGGGAAUGGCAUUUGGGACUGCAAGGCUGGAGUGUGGCAGAGGAGACUGGAAUUCCUGGUGUAGCAGUGAAAUGCGUAGAUAUCGUAAGGAAGACCAGUGGCGAAGGCGGGUCUCUGGACAGUUCCUGACGCUGAGGCACGAAGGUCAGGGGAGCAAACGGG